CUGGAGGGAAGCUGGGGAGGCUUUGGUGGCUUGGGAGACCAAUAAACUUUAACUGGAAUUGGGCAAAUCACAGAGUUGGACUGUCAGUUUGAGGCCCUGUUGGAUGGAAAGUGAGGCUUCCUUACUGUCAGAGAUUACUGCGAGACACCUUUGCUGAAUCUCUCAAACCGUCUCAAAAUGACGGAAAUUGUAGAGGAAUAUGAAGAAUAUGAAGAAUAUGAGGAGGAGGAGGAGGAGGAGGAGGUUGUGGAAAGG
Molecule: long non-coding RNA, 255 nt
Organism: Oreochromis aureus
Lineage: Eukaryota; Metazoa; Chordata; Actinopteri; Cichliformes; Cichlidae
Exons: 3
Source: RefSeq, a predicted model, not a curated record